GCUGAGGUAAGCCACUGGACAACUGAAGACAUCCAAGGGAGAAGAUGAUCUUCCUCACCCCGCUGCUCCUCUUCCUCGCCUCCUGUGUCUCUGGAACAUUUGUAGUGAAUGUGACUCAGGCUUCCUAUCAGGCAGAGGAGAACCAGAACAUCACCCUGGAGUGGACCUUCAGCACCAGAAGAGAUACUUCACUCAACUCCAUUUCUAUCGUCUGUGAUCUAGUAUCUGUCAGGCCCUACAACUUGCUUCAUCUAUACAAAGGCAUUGAACUCCCAGAGUCUCAGGAUCCAGAGUUUGCAGGACGAGUCCAAUGGGACAAAGACGUCCUCACAGAAGGACGCCUCACACUUCAUGUCUCCAGACUCAGGACCAGUGACUCUGGGUUUUAUAUAUGCAAAGUGUUCACUGAUUAUGGACGGAACAAUGGGAGAUGCUGUUUGAAUGUGACUGCUGCUGAAGAGCUUGAACCUCAGAGACCAAGAGAGUCCACAAUUUUGCUGUAAGGUCAAUCAUCUGUUCUCUGUUUACUGACGGAUAUUGUUACCAUGCUCUGCCUUUAAAGUACAUUUUUGUCACAUAUUGGGAAUCAAUCCCUUUUCCUAUGAGAGAAAUUGUGACAUUUCUGUGUGUAAAUAUGUUGAAUUCAGUAAAUGCUCAUGUUAGGUCAUGUAUUACAGGUGUUAGAGGGAAUAAUUAAUGACUGUCUUUGGUCAUAACAACAUUGAAUUACCUCCAGAGGACAAUAACAAGAACAACAAUAAAACUAUAAAUGAUCUUAAGUGGUGUUUUGUGUUUCUUUCCUGAUUGGUUUCUGCUACAGUCUCUUCAUACAGCAUAUAAGUAAAU
Molecule: RNA transcript, 846 nt
Organism: Notothenia coriiceps (black rockcod)
Lineage: Eukaryota; Metazoa; Chordata; Actinopteri; Perciformes; Nototheniidae
Gene name: myelin-oligodendrocyte glycoprotein-like
Exons: 6
Source: RefSeq, a predicted model, not a curated record